UGACCUCAGAUCAGGCAAGGCAACCCGCUGAAUUUAAGCAUAUUAAUAAGCGGAGGAAAAGAAACUAACAAGGAUUCCCCUAGUAAUGGCGAAUGAAGCGGGAACAGCUCAAAUUGAAAAUCUCCGUUGCUUGCAACGGCGAAUUGUAGUUUCGAGAAGCACUUUCUCGGCGGAUCCGAGGUCGUCCAAGUUGCUUGGAACAGCACGUCGUAGAGGGUGACAACNCCGUCUGCGGCGAUCUCGGCCGUUCACGAUGUGCUUUCGACGAGUCGGGUUGUUUGGGAAUGCAGCCCAAAAUGGGUGGUAAACUCCAUCUAAAGCUAAAUAUUGGCACGAGACCGAUAGCGAACAAGUACCGUGAGGGAAAGAUGAAAAGCACUUUGAAAAGAGAGUUAAAAAGUACGUGAAACCGUUAAAAGGGAAACGAAUGGGGUUAGCAAUGCGUCGUGCGAGAUUCAGCCGGUGGGUGGGCCAGGCGGGCGGUUGGCGGAUCUGAAUGGACCGCUGCCGUUCGGGUUGGUUUCCCGACCGUCGCACUUCUCGCAGGCGCGCGCCAACGUCGGUUAGGGCUGGGUCUCAAAGGCGGUGGAAAGGUAGGUUUGGACUCUCGGGCCCGAACUGUUACAGUCCUCCGUUCGUCAUGGCCCGGACCUGACCGAGGAGCUUGCGGUGCAUGCCCUUUCGGCUAGGGUCCCGUCUUCCCGGUCGGUCGUCGAAUGCGGUGGACUGCGUGCAGUGCGCCGCGACUGCUGCCGGUCGCGAGGGCGGUGAUUUCGUACUAUGCACCCACGACGUUGGCGGUCAUAUGGCCUCAUCCGACCCGUCUUGAAACACGGACCAAGGAGUCUAACAUGUGUGCGAGUCUUUGAGUGAUCGAAACUCCGAGGCGUAAUGAAAGUGAAGGCGACUUCGGUCGCUGAGGUGAGAGCCUUUUUCCACAAAAAAAAGGCGCAUCAUCGACCGACCUAUUC
This 971-nucleotide non-coding RNA is filed under the name Nematostella vectensis (starlet sea anemone). RNAcentral describes it as "Eukaryotic large subunit ribosomal RNA". It matches the Rfam family "Eukaryotic large subunit ribosomal RNA", at positions 1 to 775 of the family's 3401-position model. Lineage: Eukaryota; Metazoa; Cnidaria; Anthozoa; Actiniaria; Edwardsiidae. The record is from Rfam by way of RNAcentral.